This 515-nucleotide ribosomal RNA is filed under the name uncultured bacterium. Its description in RNAcentral is "partial 16S ribosomal RNA". It matches the Rfam family "Bacterial small subunit ribosomal RNA", at positions 28 to 523 of the family's 1533-position model. The record is from RNAcentral.
GAUGAACGCUGGCGGCGUGCCUAAUACAUGCAAGUCGAGCGAAUGGAUUAAGAGCUUGCUCUUAUGAAGUUAGCGGCGGACGGGUGAGUAACACGUGGGUAACCUGCCCAUAAGACUAGGAUAACUCCGGGAAACCGGGGCUAAUACCGGAUAACAUCUUGAACCGCAUGGUUCGAAAUUGAAAGGCGGCUCCGGCUGUCACUUAUGGAUGGACCCGCGUAGCAUUAGCUAGUUGGUGAGGUAACGGCUCACCAAGGCAACGAUGCGUAGCCGACCUGAGAGGGUGAUCGGCCACACUGGGACUGAGACACGGCCCAGACUCCUACGGGAGGCAGCAGUAGGGAAUCUUCCGCAAUGGACGAAAGUCUGACGGAGCAACGCCGCGUGAGUGAUGAAGGCUUUCGGGUCGUAAAACUCUGUUGUUAGGGAAGAACAAGUGCUAGUUGAAUAAGCUGACACCUUGACGGUACCUAACCAGAAAGCCACGGCUAACUACGUGCCAGCCGCCGCAGUAA